GAUACAUGCAAGUCGACGGUAACAGGAAGCAGCUUGCUGCUUCGCUGACGAGUGGCGGAGGGAGAGUAAUGUCUGGGAAACUGCCUGAUGGAGGGGGAUAACUACUGGAAACGGUAGCUAAUACCGCAUAACGUCGCAAGACCAAAGAGGGGGACCUUCGGGCCUCUUGCCAUCGGAUGUGCCCAGAUGGGAUUAGCUAGUAGGUGGGGUAACGGCUCACCUAGGCGACGAUCCCUAGCUGGUCUGAGAGGAUGACCAGCCACACUGGAACUGAGACACGGUCCAGACUCCUACGGGAGGCAGCAGUGGGGAAUAUUGCACAAUGGGCGCAAGCCUGAUGCAGCCAUGCCGCGUGUAUGAAGAAGGCCUUCGGGUUGUAAAGUACUUUCAGCGGGGAGGAAGGCGACAGGGUUAAUAACCCUGUCGAUUGACGUUACCCGCAGAAGAAGCACCGGCUAACUCCGUGCCAGCAGCCGCGGUAAUACGGAGGGUGCAAGCGUUAAUCGGAAUUACUGGGCGUAAAGCGCACGCAGGCGGUCUGUCAAGUCGGAUGUGAAAUCCCCGGGCUCAACCUGGGAACUGCAUUCGAAACUGGCAGGCUAGAGUCUUGUAGAGGGGGGUAGAAUUCCAGGUGUAGCGGUGAAAUGCGUAGAGAUCUGGAGGAAUACCGGUGGCGAAGGCGGCCCCCUGGACAAAGACUGACGCUCAGGUGCGAAAGCGUGGGGAGCAAACAGGAUUAGAUACCCUGGUAGUCCACGCCGUAAACGAUGUCGACUUGGAGGUUGUGCCCUUGAGGCGUGGCUUCCGGAGCUAACGCGUUAAGUCGACCGCCUGGGGAGUACGGCCGCAAGGUUAAAACUCAAAUGAAUUGACGGGGGCCCGCACAAGCGGUGGAGCAUGUGGUUUAAUUCGAUGCAACGCGAAGAACCUUACCUACUCUUGACAUCCAGAGAACUUUCCAGAGAUGCAUUGGUGCCUUCGGGAACUCUGAGACAGGUGCUGCAUGGCUGUCGUCAGCUCGUGUUGUGAAAUGUUGGGUUAAGUCCCGCAACGAGCGCAACCCUUAAUCCUUUGUUGCCAGCGGUUAGGCCCGGGAACUCAAAGGGAAACUGCCCAUUGAUAAACUGGGAGGAAGGUUGGGGAUGACGUCA
RNAcentral lists this ribosomal RNA (1151 nucleotides) under Enterobacter cloacae. RNAcentral describes it as "bacterial SSU rRNA". It matches the Rfam family "Bacterial small subunit ribosomal RNA", at positions 50 to 1187 of the family's 1533-position model. Lineage: Bacteria; Pseudomonadati; Pseudomonadota; Gammaproteobacteria; Enterobacterales; Enterobacteriaceae. The record is from RNAcentral.